This 76-nucleotide transfer RNA is filed under the name Corynebacterium pseudotuberculosis. RNAcentral's name for it is "tRNA-Thr". The record is from RNAcentral. Lineage: Bacteria; Bacillati; Actinomycetota; Actinomycetes; Mycobacteriales; Corynebacteriaceae.
CCGCGAUAAUCCCAUGACACCGCCCAAAAGACUCCCCAACGUGUUGCCCGCAGCAUCCAGAUCAUCAUCAAAAAGC